Molecule: unclassified non-coding RNA, 218 nt
Filed under: soil metagenome
Description: partial contains 5.8S ribosomal RNA, internal transcribed spacer 2, and large subunit ribosomal RNA
Source: RNAcentral
AACCAUAGAAACCUGCGGAGUACCUGCGGAAGGAUCAUUACAGAGUUCAUGCCCUCACGGGUAGAUCUCCCACCCUUGAAUACUAUACCUUUGUUGCUUUGGCGGGCCGCUUUGGCUACUGGCUCUGGCUAGUAAGUGCCCGCCAAAGAACCCCAAAACUCUGAAUAUUAGUGUCGUCUGAGUACUAUAUAAUAGUUAAAACUUUCAGCAACGGAUCU